UGCCUGUGUUGUGUGCAUUGGUGUAGAUGCACUUCAGAUGGGCUAUUGAUCCCGCCACCUUUUUGAGGGGUGAUACCUUAAUUCCUACAUGACCGUUCUCAGGUACUCCCACCAUUUCUAACUCACCAAUAACCCUUGCAUCUUUGCUGCCUUUAAAAGGAAAAUUUAUUAUCUGAGUGUUUUUUAACUGUGUUCUCCAGUCCUGUGCACUUGAUUGUCAUAAUCUAGAGCCAUACCAGUCUCUGGGUAGCAGGUUUUUAGCAAUUCAGAAGAUUUAUGUGUCUGUUGCUGAGCUGAAUGCCAUUCUUUGACUUUGCAUCUUACAGCAGUUUAAAGCUUUGGGGCAUUUGUCUGUCAUGAUUGAUGUUUGUCAUGAUGUACUGCACAAACAUCUUUAAAAACACUGGAUGCUGCUGCUUUCCAGAGCUGCUUAAAAGAAUUGUCAUGUCUCAGCUAAAAUGGAAAAGAAUUGCUCAUCUGAGGCAAAGAGCUCUCACAGAGCUUGUCUUCAAAAUCGGUAAUCAGAAGUGACUGCUCUUCAGGAGAUCAGAGCUUCCAGUGUAUCAUGCUGGGCUUCUAUUCUACCAGAGGAUGAAAUGACUAACGAUGCUACUAGGAAUUAGUGAUGCAAGAGGUCAUGCGUGUUAGAAUUUUCGCAGAAUCCACUGACUGUGUUCUUUUCAUUCAAAGAUAUGAUCUCCAUGGUCUCCUCCCACUAUUAAAUGAGAAAAAGGAAUCUAAUAGGACUCAGAUCCCAUGAAAAAGAAAUCCCUCCAUGAUACAGGAGUGUGGGAAAAGAUGAAGGACCACUUGUGUAGUUAGAUUUAAAGGACAGAUUUAAGUCAUAAGGAAUGGUUAUACUACUGUUACUACUAACAGACUUCUGAAACACAGAAUAUUUCUAGUGUGUUACCAUUAACAGAGAACAAAGACAGUCUUUAGUAAUUUCUUCCUCUCUUCCUUUCCCUUCCUCAUAACAAGGAUAAGGAUUUUGCUCCUGAAACAAGUCAUGGGGUAAAGACUGCACCACACCAUGACAGAGUAGUCAUGAGGUCUUAUAACUGAUCUGAAUCUUGGCUGUGUCAUACCUUGAAGAAGUGGCAUGAUACAAGGUAUUUAGCAGUGGUAGUGACCUUUGUCUUAUGAAAGCUUACCUGAAAACUCCUAAAGAAGAAAUGACCUGAAAUGGGGGUUCUACCUUGGAAAGGAAGACUAAAUGCAUUCAAUGGAUGAAUAAUCAAGACCCUCCACAAGAUAAAGUGAAAGAACUUUACCUAGCCUAGAUGGCAUAUUAUAACUGAAAACUAGAAGCAAAGGAAAACUGUUAAAAAAAAAAAAAGUCCUAUAUAGCUUUCAGAAUUAAUACAGACAUGCUGGAGUUAUGAGACUGGAUGUCCUUAUAUAAGAAGCAACAAUGACAACACUUUCUUGUUAAAAAAUCAAAGCUGAAGUCUUGUUCUCUGACUAAUGGGGGAGCAAGUGUAAACUGGAGAGACCCAAUCUCUCUUACUGCAGCCUAUCAAGCCGAAUCCAGAUGACUCACGCAAACAGCCUGCAGUCACAGAAGAAUGGAUCCAAACUGGUUGUCCAUGUCUCAUGAAGCUGUGGCCCACAAGGUGUAGGCAAUACUGGACAUACUGCAUUCCUAACAUUGCUUCUCCUUCUGUGUCCAAGCAUCGAGUGCCGCUAAGCAGCACUUCCCAGCAGUG
Molecule: long non-coding RNA, 1709 nt
Organism: Corapipo altera (White-ruffed manakin)
Lineage: Eukaryota; Metazoa; Chordata; Aves; Passeriformes; Pipridae
Exons: 5
Source: RefSeq, a predicted model, not a curated record